Molecule: non-coding RNA, 24 nt
Filed under: Arabidopsis thaliana (thale cress)
Lineage: Eukaryota; Viridiplantae; Streptophyta; Magnoliopsida; Brassicales; Brassicaceae
Source: RNAcentral
AUCAAAGACAUAACCAAAACGAAU